ACUCCUACGGGAGGCAGCAGUGGGGAAUAUUGGACAAUGGGCGCAAGCCUGAUCCAGCCAUGCCGCGUGGGUGAUGAAGGCCCUAGGGUUGUAAAGCCCUUUCGGCGGGGAAGAUAAUGACGGUACCCGCAGAAGAAGCCCCGGCUAACUUCGUGCCAGCAGCCGCGGUAAU
RNAcentral lists this ribosomal RNA (172 nucleotides) under uncultured bacterium. Its description in RNAcentral is "partial 16S ribosomal RNA". It matches the Rfam family "Bacterial small subunit ribosomal RNA", at positions 335 to 524 of the family's 1533-position model. The record is from RNAcentral.